Venturia canescens is the source of this 704-nucleotide long non-coding RNA. RefSeq lists it as uncharacterized. The transcript is spliced from 2 exons. Lineage: Eukaryota; Metazoa; Arthropoda; Insecta; Hymenoptera; Ichneumonidae. The record is from RefSeq and is a predicted model, not a curated record.
ACUGUUUCCCGCAAAGUUUCCCGGCUCCGAGCAAAAAAUUCCAAUAUGGCCGCAGGUCUCAGUGUUUUCGGUUUUUAUUUUACACUCCGAAUAACGAUACAGUAACUCUAACCUCCUUCGUUGUUACCACAUUCGAAGAUCGUAUCCGCAAAAAUCAACGAAUUUCUGAUUACGUUUGGGUAUUAUUUAGAAAACUCAGCAAUUAUCAAUCAUGGCGGACAAUAGAAAAAUUAAACUCGUCGACAGGCUUCAUCGAGGAUUCGUCAAUUGUUGCGCCUCAACGUAAAGCGUUCGAGGCAAGAAUCGAACAAGAAUUGCUGAUGGAAGGCAGUAGCUUCAAAUCCUCCCUCGACGAAGAGUUGAAAGCGUGAAAUAUUUCGUUUCUCUUCGUCCUCGAAGAUGCUUCAAAGAAAGCAAAAUUAUGUGGUUUUAGAAGAUAAAAGGAGAUUCGUUUUGUAAAAAAACCUCAAAAAUAGUCUUAUGCUUGUACAUAACUAUUAUGCUCUUUAUCGAAUAAUAGUCAUUCGACGCAGGUUUACAUUUAUAAAAAUUCAACACUUUUUAAGUUAAGCCCGUUACUCUCUAGCUCUGGAUACUAAUCAUUUCUUUAUUCAAUACCCCUCUAUGACUGUAAUUUAUCUAUUAAUUACUUCUUCGUUGUGAGUCCAGAUUUUGAGAGUUAUUAAAAUAAUUAAAUUACAAAA